This 1753-nucleotide long non-coding RNA is filed under the name Trifolium pratense (red clover). Its description in RNAcentral is "long non-coding RNA (TPRA_LNC000919)". The record is from RNAcentral. Lineage: Eukaryota; Viridiplantae; Streptophyta; Magnoliopsida; Fabales; Fabaceae.
CGUUUAAACUUCACAAAAUUUUGUUUGCACAAAAUUAACUUGAUAUUAACCGACGAAGUAAAAGAACAAUGAUAAUUUAAUGUUAUCUGAUGAUAUAUCUAGGAACAAAGUCCACCAAAAUUAUGCAAUGGUUUGUUGAAUAAGUUUUGCAAAAUUAGUUACAAAAUUAUAAGUUAUUUCAAGUUUUAGAGAAUAUUAAGACGAUGUUUAGUUGUUCACGAAUCACUAUAUUGCUAAUUAAUUAGGAAGCUAGACUUCAAGGCCUAUACAACACGAACAUUUCUCGGAUUAGGCGCGUCUCGGUGUCGGACAUACGUCGGUAUUCGACACUGACACGACACACAUGAUUUUAUUGAAUUUUGUUAUUUUCUCAUAUUAUUAUCGGUAUCGAUGUGUUAGUGUCCGCGUCAUAUCCGGUAUCGGUGUUUGUCGUGCUUGAAAGCUUCAGACAAUUUUAUUUAAAGGCAAGGGGUGAAACAUACGAUAUUAAAAUUAUUUAUCCAAGAUGGUAACUAUAAGAAAAUGUGGCAUCUGAAUUAUGUAAAACUCAGUCCAUUAACAGCAACAUUUGAACCCUGCACAAGAAAGCUUACAUGUACAACAAGUAAAGCAAUGGAACCAAUUGCAACUAUUACAACUUGAGUUGGAACAAAAAGCACAUGCUGGUUUAGAUUGGAUAAUUGCUGUCUCUGAUCCUUCUUUAUAUGAUUCUUGUCUAAGAGCAUCAUCUGUCUUCACAAAACUAUUUCCAUCUGUUUCUCUCAAACUGCAACAAUUCCAAACAAAUUGAAAUCAAUGUGCUUUUACAGUUUUUACAGCUUGUGAAUAAAUGGAGCAAAUAAUAAGUACUUCCUCCCAUAACUUAACUAUCCGCAUCAAUCGUUCUUGUAUAAAAUGAAGGGUAUAUUAGAAAUAAUAACAUUAAAUAGUUUAAAAAUAGUUAACUUUUACUUAUAAUAGUGACCAAAAUUUGAAACAAUUUUUUUACUUUAUAAUAGUGACCAAUACAUACUUAUGAUCAAAGUAGUAAUGAAUAAGGUAAAUUGUCGUAAAAGUAACCGUAUAGCAUAAUCCAAGGAGAACAGUUAUGCUUUCCAACUUGGUAUAUAACUAAAUAUGAUACAUAGUUAAGAAAGAAGAAAACCUACAUAGGAGUGGAAAGACUACUGUUGCAACAACUGCAGAACAACCAGCCACAUGAACACUUGCAGCUUGGCCAGCAAGUCGGCCCUUUAUGGUGGCAGAACCCCCAACUGCAAUUACAGAAGUUGCAAGAACGCCGCGAACUCUUGUUUCUGCCAUGCACAGAAGAUAUAUUCCUCAUUGAAUGGAUAUAAGUUUAGAGAUUUUAAUUUUAUAUAUCUAUACAUGAGCAUAUGCAUAAUUUCUUCAUCAAUUGGUUCAUAUUUAUAACAAUGUACUAUUAACAUGUAUGAUAAAUAAUGUAUAUGGAUGAAAGAAUGAUAUUGACUUGUCUCAAAAGGAAAAGGAAAAGGAAUAGAAUAGACUCACAAUGGGACAAAAGCGUGCCUGAUUGUUUGACUCAGAGUCGUCGCACUCGACUUUGUAGACAUGCUGCGUGCAGCUUCAUGAAGAGACUUUAUGUCAUGUUGGUCUUCUUCAUUGAGAUGUGGUUUGAACCUGAAAGAUUCUUCUAAUGGUUCGAGGUCCUCUAUGUCAUCACUUUUACUGGCAAUGUCUAUCUUCUCUAUUGUUACUGAUGGAAUUCGGUUAAACGUAUUUUGCUCGACAG